CUUUGAUUUCCGCAAAGUAAAGUAAAUAUAGAGCCAAGAACAUCCGAAUGAAAGAUCUGUUUGAUAUAAGUGCAUGGAAAGAAACAAUAAUAAGAUUGUAUCUUAUUAUCUUGAUCACAUAUAUUUAAUAUAUCACCACAGUUAUUCGUUGGAAUAGGAAUGGAAGAUGAAGACAAUUGGGUGUUACAAAGCUAUGGAAGCCAGUAAGGCCA
This 212-nucleotide long non-coding RNA is filed under the name Elaeis guineensis (African oil palm). RNAcentral's name for it is "long non-coding RNA (EGUI_LNC026745)". Lineage: Eukaryota; Viridiplantae; Streptophyta; Magnoliopsida; Arecales; Arecaceae. The record is from RNAcentral.